AGGACGAACGCUGGCGGCGUGCUUAACACAUGCAAGUCGAGCGGAAAGGCCCUUCGGGGUACUCGAGCGGCGAACGGGUUGAGUAACACGUGAGUAAUCUGCCUUUAGCUCUGGGAUAGCUCCGGGAAACCGGGAUUAAUACCGGAUAUGACCACUUUAGACAUCUGUUGUGGUGGAAAGUUUUUCGGCUAGAGAUGAGCUCGCGGCCUAUCAGCUUGUUGGUGGGGUAACGGCCUACCAAGGCGACGACGGGGUA
RNAcentral lists this ribosomal RNA (256 nucleotides) under uncultured bacterium. RNAcentral describes it as "partial small subunit ribosomal RNA". It matches the Rfam family "Bacterial small subunit ribosomal RNA", at positions 26 to 285 of the family's 1533-position model. The record is from RNAcentral.